This 28-nucleotide small RNA is filed under the name Bombyx mori (domestic silkworm). RNAcentral describes it as "ovarian small RNA-18513". Lineage: Eukaryota; Metazoa; Arthropoda; Insecta; Lepidoptera; Bombycidae. The record is from RNAcentral.
UAAAUUGUGUAUCAGAGUAACGAUGAGU